UGGGGAGUGUGGGAGAGGCAGACAGGUGUAAUAUGUGAGAAUGGAGUUGAGUUCAGUCUAUAGCAGUGCAAUAAUGUAAGCCCUGCAUUUAAAUGAGACUGAAGGUUUUUGCCCUUAUCUACACAGUAGAGUUCUAUUUAGGCAUAGCUUCAGUUUCUCAAGUAAGCCUAUCCUGGAAGCUAAUUCUGAACUUCAACUGUGUACAGACAGAAGCUCCUAAAGAUUAUCAUCACAUAAGCAUGAUCUUUAUCCCAUUAAAAAUUCUGUCUGACUACAGAACUUGCAAGCUCUGUGAAAUGGUAAUACCUGUUCUCUUCUCCAGCACAUCCCUGGACCAGCCAGCUGUCUGAGUGCACUGGGUUCUCUCUUGAAGACCUGUUGCCGUGUGUGCUGCACCUUCACCAAAAAUGUUUCCAUGAUGAGAUCCCUAAGGAUUAUAGGCAGGUGUUGUCUCACUGCAGUUAAAGACAAUCUGAAGAUGAGCGUUAUGACGAAAUAGGCCAAGAAAAGGUGAUGAGCUACAGCCAGCUCUGUUCACUGCUGGGUGUGAAGCAGGAGGACCUGAAGCCUAGUCCCCUGCACACAAAUGUCAUAGAAAUUAAAGUUUUCUUUAGCUCUCCCUCUGGAAAGAGAUCUAAAAGAUGAGUAGAACUCAUGGCUGUAAAGGUCUGUGAAGACCUGCAUGAGCCUUUCCUCCUCUCUGGCAUCCUGAGCUUCCAUCCUUUCUGUCGUUACCUUGGCUGACAUCUCUAUUAGAAGAGCUGGAGGAGCAGACUUGACUUUUAAUGUGUUACUUCUGGAUGUUCUUGCUACAGGAGGAGGGAAGACAGCACUCAGGAUGAUAGGAGCAGCUUAGUGACUACACCUACAGCUGAGCCCAGGAAGAAAGUCUUCUGGACAGCUUUCUGGACUGGAGUUUAGAUUCCUGCUCUGGUUAUGAAGGUGAGCAGGAAAGUGAAGUCACAAGUCCCAGUGGAAUCUUGGAUGUGACAGUGGUUUACAUGGAUCCAGCGGAGCACUGCUGUCAGGACUCCAGUGAUGAGGACAGCCUAUCUGUGGAGUGUCCUGGGCACACAGCACCACUGAGGAAGGCCAGGACACCAGAUGAAACUCGCAGAGUUUUUUCAGCCUCAAAAAAUCCCAGCUGGGAAGGGAGCUCAGGCUACUCUUCUGUCAGUGGUGCCAGUCCUACGUCUCCACAGCUGCCUUUUACAGAAGUACCUCUCAAACCUACCUCAGCACUGUCUCUUUGUCCAGCUCAUUAGACUAAGGCAACGGCCACAGAGCCAUUCAGCCCAGAGGUUCCACGUCACUGUUGAGGCGGUGCUGAAAGGAAAGAAGAGAGAUUCUCAUUUCUAGAAGCCAAAGCUGCUUUGGUGGAGGAGGAUCAAUUGUCCACAAAAGUUUCCAGAAUGGGAGGGAAGGGUCUGGGUAGGGAGCUCCUCAAAUGUGUGCUUUCCAGACGUAAGUCAGUCAGCAACUGGUGUUCUGUUGUCAGGGUCCCUGAAUUUAUAGCAGUCAGCAUGGAGAUGGCUCGUGACAUUGUAAAGCCAUGGUGAUGUGACCCUAAAAAUGUCCUGUGAUGACCAAAACAUGGCUGUGUUGGGCAAGGGGAGGCUAUGGCCUGAGAGUUGCCCUACUUGUCAGCAGAGGGAUUCUGUGGGGCUCCAUUUUAGGUCUGGUUCUCUUUAAUGUUUUUCCUGUUGAUUCUAAUAAAGAUCUGGAAGUUGUA
This is a non-coding RNA of Phasianus colchicus (ring-necked pheasant), 1732 nucleotides long. NCBI's taxonomy places the organism in Eukaryota, Metazoa, Chordata, Aves, Galliformes, Phasianidae. The record is from RefSeq and is a predicted model, not a curated record.